This 451-nucleotide ribosomal RNA is filed under the name uncultured Planctomycetota bacterium. RNAcentral's name for it is "bacterial SSU rRNA". It matches the Rfam family "Bacterial small subunit ribosomal RNA", at positions 385 to 826 of the family's 1533-position model. Lineage: Bacteria; Pseudomonadati; Planctomycetota. The record is from RNAcentral.
GACGAAGCGACGCCGCGUGGGGGAAGAAGGCCUUCGGGUUGUAAACCUCUGUCAGGAGCCAGGAAAUGCAGGUGUGUGAAUAUCGUCCCUGUUUGACUACAGCUCCAGAGGAAGCCAUGGCUAACUCUGUGUCAGCAGCCGCGGUAAUACAGAGAUGGCAAGCGUUGUUCGGAAUCAUUGGGCGUAAAGCGCACGUAGGCGGCCUAGCAAGUCGGAUGUGAAAUCCCCUGGCUUACCCAGGGAACUGCAUUCGAUACUGCAAGGCUUGAGGACAGGAGGGGAGAGUGGAACUUCUGGUGGAGCGGUGAAAUGCGUAGAUAUCAGAGGGAACACCGGUGGCGAAAGCGACUCUCUGGCCUGUAUCUGACGCUAAGUGUGCGAAAGCUAGGGGAGCAAACGGGAUUAGAUACCCCGGUAGUCCUAGCCGUAAACGAUGGGCACUAAGUAGAGG